Long non-coding RNA from Perca fluviatilis (European perch), 389 nucleotides. RefSeq lists it as uncharacterized. The record is from RefSeq and is a predicted model, not a curated record. Lineage: Eukaryota; Metazoa; Chordata; Actinopteri; Perciformes; Percidae. The transcript is spliced from 5 exons.
UCUGGACUUUUAUUUUGAAGUUCAGCAACUAACCUGUACAGGAAGCUGUAGUCUUCACUGCGCUGACUUCACACUUUUGAACAAGAUGGACUCUAGCAGAAAAUACGUAUUUUGGCAGUUGUUGCGUUCAGAUUCAGCUUCGGUUACACAGAGCAGGUGAAGAGAAAUUUGAAGGAGUUGGAAGAGAGCCAUCGACCUGCAGGAACGAUGCCACGAAAAAACAAAAGAAGCAGGGCUCAGGCGCAAAGAUGGCUGCAUCGUGCAGCGUUGCAGCAGCUGUUGGUGGCUAAAGAAGAGAUUCCCCCUGAGCAGCAGGAGUGUAGCUCCAGUGUGGACCAGCAGGAGUCAGAGCCCCCCCCACACAUUAAAGAGGAACUGUGGAGCAGUCA